This 253-nucleotide ribosomal RNA is filed under the name uncultured bacterium. Its description in RNAcentral is "partial 16S ribosomal RNA". It matches the Rfam family "Bacterial small subunit ribosomal RNA", at positions 524 to 776 of the family's 1533-position model. The record is from RNAcentral.
UACGGAGGAUCCGAGCGUUAUCCGGAUUUAUUGGGUUUAAAGGGUGCGUAGGCGGUUUGAUAAGUUAGAGGUGAAAUGUCGGGGCUCAACCCCGAAACUGCCUCUAAUACUGUUGGACUAGAGAAUAGUUGCGGUAGGCGGAAUGUAUGGUGUAGCGGUCAAAUGCUUAGAGAUCAUACAGAACACCGAUCGCGAAGGCAGCUUACCAAACUAUAUCUGACGUUGAGGCACGAAAGCGUGGGUAGCAAACAGG